This 756-nucleotide long non-coding RNA is filed under the name Homo sapiens (human). RNAcentral's name for it is "HSALNT0060675". The record is from RNAcentral. Lineage: Eukaryota; Metazoa; Chordata; Mammalia; Primates; Hominidae.
AAAAGAUGAUAUGGAAAAAGUGUUGUGAAAGCUCUUACUUUUACAUUCUACCAACCCUGUAUAAGGUCGGUGUCAGAGUCAAGCAAUUAAUAAUCACAAUUGGGGUGGACAAUUUAGCAUCUAGGUCAGUGAUUAGCAAGUAAUAGUUUUCUCAUCCAUGUUUGUUGAAUUAGCAUAAGAUAUUAUGGCUUAUGUACUGAUAUGGCUGGCUACUUUAUCAAGGCAGUAAUUUGUCCUUUAUUCUUGCUGCUGUAGAUAUUUUUCCCUUUCCCAAGCUAAGAAGGUAGCCACGUCUUGUGUUUUUUGUUUUUGUUUUUACCUAGGUGGUUUUUGUAUUCCAUCAGGAAGCAGACAUUGCCAAGCAAGAGAAGACAACUCCUUCUUAGCCUUUUGUUUGCAAUAACCUUGGCUCAGUGAGAGUUAUGUAGAAAGUAAGUGCAUGAAACUUAACAGGUAGAAGCUGUGGGACCCAAGGGGAGAGGAAGAUUCCUGAGACUAACAGAUGGAGUCGGGUUCUGGGAGGCGGUGGGGGUGAUUCUGUGCUGAGCAAAAGUAUCACCCCAGGAUUGCACAGUCUCAGGCUGGUGGACUCCAAGAAUAUAGUCCUGGGAGCAAUGGCACAGAUAUCCCCUGCCUACCGUCAGAAGACCAUGUGGGCAGGGAUGGUGAACUUAACAGAGACCAGCAUGGACAGAGGUCUAGAGGACUCUUCUCCAACUCCUCCCACCAGCUAUUCUCUGGGACCUGAGGAGGUAG